Molecule: non-coding RNA, 212 nt
Filed under: Pseudomonas floridensis
Lineage: Bacteria; Pseudomonadati; Pseudomonadota; Gammaproteobacteria; Pseudomonadales; Pseudomonadaceae
Source: RNAcentral
CCUGUGCGCCUUGUUACGGGUGCCCCUCACGGGGUGAAACGGGAAACCGGUGCGCUUGGUUCAUAGAGCAAGUCCGGUGCUGCCCCCGCAACGGUAAGCGAGAGGAAGUCAGAUCCACUGUGCGCAGGCAUGGGAAGGUGACUUCGAAGGACGGCGCUCCAUUGCCAGGUCCCCUCGCGAGCCCGGAGACCGGCCCGCUACGUUUUCAAAUG